AUGUGUCUGUUGCUUAAUUAUCCAUUGGCGCAUUUACAUGUGGCCAUGAAGAGGGCCACGGAUGACUGUGUAAAAAUGAUCAAUCAUUACUUCUUACAGUCCAGAGGAGGUGCCAAGAAAACAAGAAAAAAAAAAGAAACCAAAAAACCCACAACCCUACCCUUUCACACUGCUAUCUAUGUGGGAGACCUGAAAACUGAGAAACAAACGUCACCCCAAACAAUGAGUUGGAAAAUGAACUCAAAUUUAUCCUACGAAGCAGGUGACCAAACCCACCUCUUGGCUUUUUCAAGAUGUACGUAUCUCAUUUCCAACAAAUCAUAGCCAGAACAUCAAAUUUCUUUUCCAUCUUCUGUUCCUGGUGGAUCUGAAUCAGAGAAGCAAUGGCUGAGAAAAAUUGGAAGGGAUCUUCAUUUGAACUUUGACUCCUGGCUCUUUUCCUGUUGGAUCCAUGAAUUUCUGAGAAUUUCUGAGAUCAUUUCUAAUUUGUUGUAGGAGUCCUUCUGGACAGAAAGUUCCCUAGUCUUUGUGAUAAGAAUAUGUUCUUUACAGCUUGCAGUAUUGCAGGCUCUCUUCAUUCAUUUCCGAACAGUUUCUAAUAAACUGAAUAAAAGUGCACA
Molecule: long non-coding RNA, 620 nt
Filed under: Bos indicus x Bos taurus (hybrid cattle)
Lineage: Eukaryota; Metazoa; Chordata; Mammalia; Artiodactyla; Bovidae
Description: lncRNA (ENSBIXG00000005835.1)
Source: RNAcentral